This 130-nucleotide small nucleolar RNA is filed under the name Meriones unguiculatus (Mongolian gerbil). Lineage: Eukaryota; Metazoa; Chordata; Mammalia; Rodentia; Muridae. The record is from RNAcentral.
UUUUAAAGAUAUUUCUAGAAGUCAUAUACAGAAUGAACUAAGUCACGUACAUCUUUGGUAAAGCCAUUGUGGUGAUAACAGUGGAGCAACCUCAGAAGCUACUGAGGUGCCAUUCUGCCCUGGUACAGAA